UCUAAGAACAACUGAUUACAGUGAAUCUGCGAACGGCUCAUUAGAACAGACAUAAUUCACUUGAUUUUGAUCCUCUAUAUGGGUAUCUGCGGUAAUUCUGGAGCUAAUACAUGCCAAGAGUCUCUGAACGCCUCGGCGUGACGAGCGCAAUUAUUAGACCAAAAUCCUCCGGGCCUAGCCUGUGUUUUUGGUGACUCUGAAUAAAGCCGCCGAUCGCACGGUCUCGUACCGGCGACGUAUCAAUCAAGUGUCUGCCCUAUCAACUUUCGAUGGUAGUUUAUGUGACUACCAUGGUUAUAACGGGUAACGGAGAAUAAGGGUUCGACUCCGGAGAGGGAGCCUGAGAAACGGCUACCACAUCCAAGGAAGGCAGCAGGCGCGUAAAUUACCCACUCUCAAUACGAGGAGGUAGUGAAUAUCAAUAACGAGACAGUGCUCUAUGAGGACUGUUAUUGGAAUGGGUAAAAUUUAAACCCAAUAACGAGGAUCUAUGAGAGGGCAAGUCUGGUGCCAGCAGCCGCGGUAAUUCCAGCUCUCAUAGCGUAUAUCAUCAUUGCUGCGGUUAAAAAGCUCGUAGUUGGAUCUGAGCCUGCGCGAGGCGGUACAGCUUUGCUGCUACUCGUCCUCCGGGCUAUAGCCGAUCGGUUUUCGGCGGCGUGUGCUUGCAUGCGUCCGUUGUGGCUGGUCAGUUUACCGUGAAAAAAUUAGAGUGCUUAACACAGGCGUUUCCGCCUGAAUAUCGUUUCAUGGAAUAAUAGAAUAGGACCUCGGUUCUAUUUUGUUGGUUUUCGGUGCUGAGGUAAUGGUUAAGAGGGACUGACGGGGGCAUCCGUAUCGCUACGCGAGAGGUGAAAUUCUUAGACCGUAGCGGGACGUCCUACUGCGAAAGCAUUUGCCAAGAAUGUCUUCAUUAAUCAAGAACGAAAGUCAGAGGUUCGAAGGCGAUUAGAUACCGCCCUAGUUCUGACCGUAAACGCUACCAACUAGCGACCCGCUGGUGGUUGAAAUGCCCUGGCGGGGAGCUUGCUCCGGAAACGAAAGUUUUCGGGUUCUGGGGGUAGUAUGGUUGCAAAGCUGAAACUUAAAGGAAUUGACGGAAGGGCACCACCAGGAGUGGAGCCUGCGGCUUAAUUUGACUCAACACGGGAAAACUCACCCGGCCCGGACACUAUGUGGAUUGACAGAUUGAAAGCUCUUUCAUGAUUCGGUGGUUGGUGGUGCAUGGCCGUUCUUAGUUGGUGGAGCGAUUUGUCUGGUUUAUUCCGAUAACGAGCGAGACUCUAACCUACUAAAUAGUCGUUGGAUAGUCAGGUCCAGCGUCGUACUUCUUAGAGGGAUUACCGGCGUUUAGCCGAUAGAAAUUGAGCAAUAACAGGUCUGUUAUGCCCUUAGAUGUUCGGGGCUGCACGCGCGCUACACUGGAAGGAUCAGCGCGCAGCAUUACCAGUGCCGAAAGGCAUUGGCAAACUCUAAAACCUUCCGUGAUUGGGAUAGGGAAUUGUAAUUAUUUCCCUUGAACGAGGAAUUCCCAGUAAGUGUGAGUCAUCAACUCGCGUUGAUUACGUCCCUGCCCUUUGUACACACCGCCCGUCGCUGCCCGGAACUGAGUCAUUUCGAGAAAUGCGGGGACUAGCGGCUCUUCGGAGUUCGCCGGAAACCGCAUUGAUCGCAGUGGCUU
RNAcentral lists this ribosomal RNA (1678 nucleotides) under Koerneria luziae. RNAcentral's name for it is "SSU rRNA". It matches the Rfam family "Eukaryotic small subunit ribosomal RNA". Lineage: Eukaryota; Metazoa; Nematoda; Chromadorea; Rhabditida; Neodiplogasteridae. The record is from RNAcentral.